UCAGGGUAGCCAUGCUUCGCUAAAAUAUUAAUGAAUCGUCGUAUAUUUAUACUUGGGCAGACGUUAAAUGAAGAUAAUAUAUAGGAUAAAGUGGAAGAUAAUAUUUCGACAGAUAUUGCAGAAAUAUAGUAGGAUACGAUGGUUAUGAUAACAUGGACAUGAUAGAAUGGCUGAAUGGAUUUAAUAUGAUUCUUUUAAUUAAUCAUGACACUAGGCUUAUCUUUGCAUCGAAUAAUCAAUUGGAACGUGGAUAUAACGAUAAGAAAGAUAUUCGAUAAUCGAGUGACUUUCGUGACUUCGAGUGAUUUCGCUCAACGUCCAACGAACAGCUCGAAACCGAAUACCAGGAACAGUAAGAAAAUAUUUACCAAUCAUUUUAAAAUCCGAAAUAAAUCACGUACAUUUGCUAAAGAUAAUAAAUGAACAGAAUUAAAUAUUCCAGAGUUACAAGAGACGUCCCCCUUUUUUUUCUUAACAAGCUUCUUAUUAUUCGCCAUGAGAAUUUAAUACCAACAAUUUGUGUUUCGCGUGACUUACAAAAUUUUAGUAAUAAGAUUAGUUCAAUUGUAUAAGAGAGCUCUGGAAUAAUUUAUUUCGGCUUUAUUUGCAUUUUAUUUAAAGGGACAAAGUCCAAAGAGGGACUGAUACUCUCUUUUUUUCGAGUUUCUUCUACACAAAAGGGAGGAGCGUUUCGCAAGCUUACCCUUCGUACAAUAAAUAGAAGGAGCUACAUACGUUCUUCAAUGGUGAAGAUCGCGGUAAACUUACGAAAUUUGGAAACGUCAGGGGUAUCGUAAGGUUUCUGCAAAUCUUUUUUAUGGAUUCCCGUGAUUCUCGAUUUACUGCCGCUUUUCGUAUUUCUUGUGCGUAUUAAAGGACCUUGCACGGCGCAAUCUCAGCGGGAAAUCUUUGCAAUAAAACGUCCAGCUGUUAACCACAGCUGCCAUCGUUGAUAGAAAAAUUUGGAAAUGUCGUAAAAGUCAUGAUUGUCGAAGUAACACGUGCACGUUGUUGAAGUAACAUUGUGAAAAACAAUUUAGAGGAGACAAUUAUUAUAAUAGAAUUUCUCGAAUAAUUAGUAUGACCUGGGCUACGUGAAUAAAUAGUCGUGUUUGGUGUGGCAUUAUCAGUUUCCCAUUAAAUUUAGUUGUUCUUUUGGCAAUCGCCGUAAGAGAUUCAAAGCAAACAAAUCCAUCAACUGUAGGUAUUUAUUAAACAUUUCAGAACUAAAAAUUAAAGAGAAAGAGAGAGAGAGAGUAAUGAUUCAUCAAUUUUUAUUUCGCUAAUCUAAAAUAAAUUUGCUAAGCAAAUUUGUCAAUACGUUUACCCAGGACCACCUUUACCUAGUUUGAUGCAAAUGAGAAACGAUAAGUGUUAGCAACACCAUUUCCAAGAAACUUGAGGCACUAUGUCAAACUUAGUUGACACGAGAAGCAACCACUGUACGCCCAACUGACGGUCACGGAAUACAUUACUUCUUGAUACAA
Long non-coding RNA from Bombus pascuorum, 1487 nucleotides. RefSeq lists it as uncharacterized. Lineage: Eukaryota; Metazoa; Arthropoda; Insecta; Hymenoptera; Apidae. The transcript is spliced from 2 exons. The record is from RefSeq and is a predicted model, not a curated record.